UACGUAGGGGGCAAGCGUUGUCCGGAAUCAUUGGGCGUAAAGAGCGUGUAGGCGGUCCGAUAAGUCGGCUGUGAAAGUCAAGGGCUCAACCCUUGAAUGCCGGCCGAUACUGUCGGACUAGAGUCCGGAAGAGGCGAGUGGAAUUCCCGGUGUAGCGGUGAAAUGCGCAGAUAUCGGGAGGAACACCAAUGGCGAAGGCAGCUCGCUGGGACGGUACUGACGCUGAGGCGCGAAAGCGUGGGGAGCAAACAGG
RNAcentral lists this ribosomal RNA (253 nucleotides) under uncultured bacterium. RNAcentral's name for it is "partial 16S ribosomal RNA". It matches the Rfam family "Bacterial small subunit ribosomal RNA", at positions 524 to 776 of the family's 1533-position model. The record is from RNAcentral.